This 212-nucleotide long non-coding RNA is filed under the name Lathyrus oleraceus (garden pea). RNAcentral's name for it is "Pisum sativum (pea) long non-coding RNA (PSAT_LNC003078)". The record is from RNAcentral. Lineage: Eukaryota; Viridiplantae; Streptophyta; Magnoliopsida; Fabales; Fabaceae.
AACUCGGCAAGACAUCGCGUCUCGUGCCUACGUAUCUCAUCUGAACAUGAGAAUCAGAGUUGCCGUAGUUCGGCCAAACAACUCUAAGCAUGGCUCACACAAGGGUUAAGCCACACAGACUUGACUUGCACAGGAAGCAAGUCAAGCACAACCUACCUUGCACAAGGGCAAGUCUAAGCUAAACCUAAAGAGGCAAAGCAAACAGGCAAUCA